Molecule: non-coding RNA, 45 nt
Filed under: Echinostoma caproni
Lineage: Eukaryota; Metazoa; Platyhelminthes; Trematoda; Plagiorchiida; Echinostomatidae
Source: RNAcentral
GCACUGCUGACGAGUCCCAAAUUGGACGAAACAGAUGUCCAGUGC